RNAcentral lists this ribosomal RNA (107 nucleotides) under uncultured bacterium. RNAcentral's name for it is "partial 16S ribosomal RNA". It matches the Rfam family "Bacterial small subunit ribosomal RNA", at positions 1367 to 1482 of the family's 1533-position model. The record is from RNAcentral.
UACGUUCCCGGACCUUGUACACACCGCCCGUCAAGCCAUGGAAGUUGGGAGGACCUGAAGCCAGUUGCUGUAAGGCGCUGUUUAGGGUUAAACCGAUGACUGGGGCU